This 627-nucleotide ribosomal RNA is filed under the name Ligilactobacillus salivarius. RNAcentral describes it as "bacterial SSU rRNA". It matches the Rfam family "Bacterial small subunit ribosomal RNA", at positions 66 to 674 of the family's 1533-position model. Lineage: Bacteria; Bacillati; Bacillota; Bacilli; Lactobacillales; Lactobacillaceae. The record is from RNAcentral.
UACACCGAAUGCUUGCAUUCACCGUAAGAAGUUGAGUGGCGGACGGGUGAGUAACACGUGGGUAACCUGCCUAAAAGAAGGGGAUAACACUUGGAAACAGGUGCUAAUACCGUAUAUCUCUAAGGAUCGCAUGAUCCUUAGAUGAAAGAUGGUUCUGCUAUCGCUUUUAGAUGGACCCGCGGCGUAUUAACUAGUUGGUGGGGUAACGGCCUACCAAGGUGAUGAUACGUAGCCGAACUGAGAGGUUGAUCGGCCACAUUGGGACUGAGACACGGCCCAAACUCCUACGGGAGGCAGCAGUAGGGAAUCUUCCACAAUGGACGCAAGUCUGAUGGAGCAACGCCGCGUGAGUGAAGAAGGUCUUCGGAUCGUAAAACUCUGUUGUUAGAGAAGAACACGAGUGAGAGUAACUGUUCAUUCGAUGACGGUAUCUAACCAGCAAGUCACGGCUAACUACGUGCCAGCAGCCGCGGUAAUACGUAGGUGGCAAGCGUUGUCCGGAUUUAUUGGGCGUAAAGGGAACGCAGGCGGUCUUUUAAGUCUGAUGUGAAAGCCUUCGGCUUAACCGGAGUAGUGCAUUGGAAACUGGAAGACUUGAGUGCAGAAGAGGAGAGUGGAACUCCAUGU